GUGUUCGGGCUGACGGGAGAGAAGACGGUCAUUUAGAGGAGUGGCAUGGAAUUCACUUGAGAAGUGUAGCAGGACUAGGGCUUGGUUUCAGGAAUUUGUUGAAGGAGGCCCCCCCCCCCGCCCCCAGGGGUGUGCUCCUGCCGCCUCGUGCCGCCGGGUGGGCGCAGGUGAGGGCGGGCAGCAAAAUUGCAUUCAACCAGCUUGGCGGUUAGGCGGGGGCGCAUGCGGAUGGGCGCGGGUGCAACGGGGUUGAGGCGGAGCCACUAAAAUGAUGGAGCCUAGAUUGAAGGUGCGGAAGGAGGGCAGGGACGGCAAGAGAGAUCAGCCGCCCUGAAGGUGUGGCAACGAUGGACACAUGGUCCACCCUCGUGAAAUCCACAGCCUUGGAGUUCCCUGUGUGAAUAAUCCUAAGAGCUAUAAGGUAAAUGUGGUGGCGCUUUGAGAACAUGUGAAAGGGAGGCCAGCUCUUGUCAAGGCUGGGGAGCUUGCCUGCUCCUUCCUUUCUGUUGGGAACCUGGUCAUGAGUCCAGGCUCCAAAGAUACGUGCAGAUGUGUGGGAAUCCAUGCUGGUGCCACACACCAUGCUGGUCUUGAUCGCUGUUGCUACAGAUCCAGAAGAAAGGAUGAUGAGGCCAGGAGGAGCACUGGUGCUUAAGCCAAGGUCAAGUUGUCCUCACGCGUUGCUGGGGAGGCACGUCUCCAUUUCACCCACCAGGAAGGGAGCUCUGAGACUGCCUGUGUUACAUGAUCUUUGUUUUUGUGGUCGUUCUUGAUUUUGCUUUUUAGGGUUGCACCCGCAACGUAUGGAGGUUUCCAGGCGAGGUGUCUAAUCAGAGCUGCAGCUGCCAGCCUAUGCCACAGCCACAGCAACGUGGGAUCCAAGCCAUGUCUUGCAACCUAUACCACAGCUCAUGGCAAGGCCAGAUCCUUAAUCCAUAGAGCAAGGCCAGGGUUCAAACCUGCAUCCUCACGGAUACUAGUUGGGGUUUUAACCUGCUGAGACGUAAUGGGAACUCCCUGUAUUGCUUGGUCUUGAGCUCUGUGUUCAUUUCUGCACAGCAGAGACAGUAAGAAUCUUUACCUCACAGGGGCCAUGAGAAUUAAACGGGAUAACAUGUGCAGGUGGCCGGCCGCAGGGCUCAUUGGCAGGGCCUGAGGCAUACUUUCGUGUUUCCUCCAGGACAUGCGCUCCACACAACUUAGGCACCAUGUGGCAUGGGCUGGGCUUCAGCCAGGUGUGUGUGACUCCCAGCCUGGACACCCGUCAUCCCCACUAUACCAGGAUCCCUGGUGGGAAGGUCUAGGAGACCUUAACUUUAUGCCUUGAAUUUGAACUUCAUUUGGGAGAUGCUGGGGAUCCACUCAGGCUCUUUGAGCUGGGGGGCAUGUGACAAAGCUGCUUUUAGGUGAUGAAUGAUGGGGAUAAAUAAGGUGCUUGAAGAGGGGCUGAGACCUAGAGGUCAAGAGAUUCUUUUACGUUGGCUGCUCUGUGAAUUCCACUCUAGGCGAAUGCUCCACUCCUGAACCGAGGCAGAGAAGGCUGGGAAGGACAGAUAGGACAGUGGUCAUCUUCCCACCCAAGCGUUUCAUGGUUGUGUAAUUUAGUCCCGGUUCUAGCUGAAUUUAUGGGAUGCAUCUGCUGCCCCCACAGCAUCUGCCUCCGUGUCGCAUGCUGCCAUGCCGGCUGGUGAUGACCCCCUCUCACCCUUUGAAGAAGGCAGUGGCUUCAGAUGCCCAAUUUAAAUGGCUACCACCCAACAUUAAAGUGGUAGUCACGCUGCCAGUCAUCCAUCAGGAGUAAUGUUGUAUUUGCUCUUCAUGGUGGGAACUUUCCAGCUAUUACCUCUCAUUCUCUCAGCAACCCUGAAAACUGGGUAUUAUCAUUUGUGCUUUAUAGAAAAGGAAGCUGAAGCCCCGAGGUUCCUUUAAACAACAUGCCGAGGAAACACAGUUUACUAAGUGAAAGAUGUAGACAAGGAACCUAGCCUGCUCAGAGGGUGAAACCUGUUGCUUUCUUCUAAAUCUCUUUUUGUAGAUGAUCUGUUUUUCCAGAUGAGGAAACUGAGGCUGAAAAGAGCUGGGUGAAUUGCCCACAAUCAUGCAGCUAGUACAAUAGCUAAAGAACAGCUAAUUACAGAAUGUUUACUCUGGCCCAGGCAGUGGGCCAUUAAAUGAGACAGUGACUAUCUCAUUUAAUCCACAUAACAGCUGGUCUUAUGUCACAAACAAAUGCCAGAACUGGCAUUUGUGAUCAGGUCUACUCGCCUUUGGAGUUUUCAACUACCGGAUUCUGCUGUAAGGAGACUGCUAGGGGUUGAUAUAAAUCCCAAGACUUCAAAGGAGGAAAGGUCAUGGUGGCUAAGAAGAUACCUAAUCAGAAUAUCUGGGGGUGAAGCUGCUGCAAGCCACCUCUGUCUCUGAAUGCAGUUCCUGUUUGUUCCUAAGUGAUGGAUGGAAGUCUGAGCACUGAGGAUCAGGAGGGUCCAGCUUUAUGUCAUGGGCAUUUGAGUGAAGGACACCAGUCACCCUCUGGUGAUCAAUGGAGGUGUAAAACCCCAAAGACAUCCAGGAUGGCUGAGAUCAGAUGGAUGAAUGCAGGCAUCCAUCUGGGAUCUUUCUUUCCAAGGAAAUUGAUGGAAGAUGUGUCAGGUUUAGCUCACAGCAUUCCAGCCGAAAGGGUCAGUUGUCCAAAACCUUAGAGUGUCCCUCACCCAGAGAUGACAGGCUGGGGGAAGGGUCCUGAUGGCCUCUGACCUAGUUCUGGAGACGAGGUGCUAUCUGCUCUGUAAAUAUCGCCGACAUUCCUGGGAGAUGAAAGACAGCUCCAGAGCAGUGUCGUAAGCCCCUCCAAACUCCAGACACGCGCUGGUCAUCCUGGCUCUCUCUUUAAGCAACACUGGAAAAUACAGGUACACAGCUGUGAAGGGUGGUGGGGGCUGGAAGGCAGCAGUUUUAUCAGAAGCACAGUUCAUUUUCCCCAUGCAACCCCAGGAGGGUCAUUGCAUUGUUGAAUUGAAAUGAUAAUUAGAAAAUUCAUGGACUUGGGAGGAAAUUUUUGGAGUGCUUGUAUACCAGCAAACUCUUUUCUCUCUCCCAGUAGCCCAGUGAUAGGGGCAUUGUUAUUAUCCUUAUUUUUAUGAAGGAGGGGACUGUAGCCCAGAAAAGGUAAGUUGUGUGUCCUUAUGCCUCAGCUGCUAAGUGAUGGAGCAAGGUCUUGUGUCCAGGGCUCCUAACUCUAGCUCACAUUUUUCUUACCCUCUGGCUGCCUCCACCAUCCCUUGGGUCGAUAGACAGUUAUCCCAACUCUGCCUGGACAUCCAACACGGACCAUUCCAGGGUUGGAGAGCUAUCGUCUGGUGUUAAAAAUAACAGCGACCAGUUUUUGAGCCCUGCUAUGCACCAAACUGUAUUCUAAAGGUACGUUACGCCUGAUUCUCAGCUCCACUUCUUGUGGUUUAAACUGUGGGAUCUGAGUCUCAUAGAACACGAGUGACCUGCCCAAGGACACACAACCAGUAGGUAAGUCUUAUGUCAAACUCAUGACACCACACUUUCUUCUUAUAUUGAAUGGAAGUCAUCUCGGUACAUCAAUUUAAUGGAAUGUUAUGCAGACAUUAAAUUUUUCUUAAAAAAAAGAAAAAAUGCUAACUAAAACAAGCAAGAUAUGUCAACUAUACAUCAAUAAAAC
This 3688-nucleotide long non-coding RNA is filed under the name Sus scrofa (pig). RNAcentral's name for it is "lncRNA (ENSSSCG00000043918.2)". The record is from RNAcentral. Lineage: Eukaryota; Metazoa; Chordata; Mammalia; Artiodactyla; Suidae.